RNAcentral lists this ribosomal RNA (408 nucleotides) under uncultured bacterium. RNAcentral describes it as "bacterial SSU rRNA". It matches the Rfam family "Bacterial small subunit ribosomal RNA", at positions 976 to 1381 of the family's 1533-position model. The record is from RNAcentral.
AGGGCUUGACAUGCUAGUGGUAUCCCGGUGGAAACACUGGGAGACCCCUUUGGGGAGCUAGCACAGGUGCUGCACGGCUGUCGUCAGCUCGUGUCGUGAGAUGUUGGGUUAAGUCCCGCAACGAGCGCAACCCUCGUCCUUAGUUACUAACGGUUCGGCCGAGGACUCUAAGGAGACUGCCUUCGUAAGGAGGAGGAAGGUGAGGACGACGUCAAGUCAUCAUGGCCCUUACGGCUAGGGCAACACACGUGCUACAAUGGUUAGGACAAUGAGAAGCGAUACCGCGAGGUGGAGCAAAUCUAUAAACCUAAUCUCAGUUCGGAUAGCAGUCUGCAACUCGACUGCUUGAAGCUGGAAUCACUAGUAAUCGUAAAUCAGCUAUGUUACGGUGAAUACGUUCCCGGGUCU